ACGACGCUGGCGGCGUGCCUAAUACAUGCAAGUAGAACGCACAGUUAUACCGUAGCUUGCUACACCAUAGACUGUGAGUUGCGAACGGGUGAGUAACGCGUAGGUACCUGCCUGGUAGCGGGGGAUAACUAUUGGAAACGAUAGCUAAUACCGCAUAAUAUUAAUUAUUGCAUGAUAAUUAAUUGAAAGGUGCAAUUGCACCACUACCAGAUGGACCUGCGUUGUAUUAGCUAGUAGGUGAGGUAACGGCUCACCUAGGCGACGUUACAUAGCCGACCUGAGAGGGUGAUCGGCCACACGGGGACUGAGACACGGCCCAGACUCCUACGGGAGGCAGCAGUGGGGAAUCCUCGGCAAUGGACGAAAGUCUGACCGAGCAACGCCGCGCGAGUGAAGAAGGUUUUCGGAUCGUAAAGCUCUGUUGUAAGAGAAGAACGUGGUGUGAGAGUGGAAAGUUCACACUGUGACGGUGUCUCUACCA
RNAcentral lists this ribosomal RNA (481 nucleotides) under Streptococcus gordonii. RNAcentral's name for it is "bacterial SSU rRNA". It matches the Rfam family "Bacterial small subunit ribosomal RNA", at positions 32 to 485 of the family's 1533-position model. Lineage: Bacteria; Bacillati; Bacillota; Bacilli; Lactobacillales; Streptococcaceae. The record is from RNAcentral.